UACGAAGGGUGCAAGCGUUAUUCGGAAUAAUUGGGCGUAAAGGGUGUGUAGGCGACAUUUCAAGUCUGUUGUUAAAUUUCCCGGCCUAACCGGGGGAAUGCGGCAGAAACUGAUUUGAUAGAGGUUGGAAGAGAGAAGUGGAAUUCUCGGAGUAGCGGUAAAAUGCGUAGAUAUCGAGAGGAACACCGAUGGCGAAGGCAGCUUCUUGGUCCAUACCUGACGCUGAAACACGAAAGCGUGGGGAGCAAACAGGAUUAGAUACCCUGGUAGUCCACGCUGUAAACGAUGAUCACUUGAUGUUGGUCCUGCUUAGCGGGAUCAGUGUCGUAGCUAACGCGCUAAGUGAUCCGCCUGGGAACUACGGUCGCAAGACUAAA
This 377-nucleotide ribosomal RNA is filed under the name uncultured bacterium. RNAcentral describes it as "bacterial SSU rRNA". It matches the Rfam family "Bacterial small subunit ribosomal RNA", at positions 524 to 898 of the family's 1533-position model. The record is from RNAcentral.